CCUACGGGAGGCAGCAGUGAGGAAUAUUGGUCAAUGGGCGCGAGCCUGAACCAGCCAAGCAGCGUGAAGGAUGACUGUCCUACGGGUUGUAAACUUCUUUUAUAAAGGAAUAAAGUCAGGCACGCGUGCCUUUUUGUAUGUACUUUAUGAAUAAGGAUCGGCUAACUCCGUGCCAGCAGCCGCGGUAAUACGGAGGAUCCGAGCGUUAUCCGGAUUUAUUGGGUUUAAAGGGAGCGUAGAUGGGUUGUUAAGUCAGUGGUGAAAGGUUGCGGCUCAACCGUAAGAUUGCAGUUGAUACUGGCAGUCUUGAGUACAGUUGAGGUAGGCGGAAUUCGUGGUGUAGCGGUGAAAUGCUUAGAUAUCGCGAAGAACUCCGAUUGCGAAGGCAGCUUGCUGAACUGCCACUGACGUUGAUGCUCGAAAGUGUGGGUAUCAAACAGGAUUAGAUACCCGGGUAGUC
Molecule: ribosomal RNA, 460 nt
Filed under: uncultured bacterium
Lineage: Bacteria
Description: partial 16S ribosomal RNA
Rfam family: Bacterial small subunit ribosomal RNA
Source: RNAcentral